Molecule: ribosomal RNA, 700 nt
Filed under: uncultured bacterium
Lineage: Bacteria
Description: bacterial SSU rRNA
Rfam family: Bacterial small subunit ribosomal RNA
Source: RNAcentral
AGUGGCGGACGGGUGAGUAACGCGUAAGAAUCUAACUUCAGGACGGGGACAACAGUGGGAAACGACUGCUAAUACCCGAUGUGCCGCGAGGUGAAACCUAAUUGGCCUGAAGAAGAGCUUGCGUCUGAUUAGCUAGUUGGUGGGGUAAGAGCCUACCAAGGCGACGAUCAGUAGCUGGUCUGAGAGGAUGAGCAGCCACACUGGGACUGAGACACGGCCCAGACUCCUACGGGAGGCAGCAGUGGGGAAUUUUCCGCAAUGGGCGAAAGCCUGACGGAGCAACGCCGCGUGAGGGAGGAAGGUCUUUGGAUUGUAAACCUCUUUUCUCAAGGAAGAAGUUCUGACGGUACUUGAGGAAUCAGCCUCGGCUAACUCCGUGCCAGCAGCCGCGGUAAUACGGGGGAGGCAAGCGUUAUCCGGAAUUAUUGGGCGUAAAGCGUCCGCAGGUGGUCAGCCAAGUCUGCUGUCAAAUCAGGUUGCUUAACGACCUAAAGGCGGUGGAAACUGGCAGACUAGAGAGCAGUAGGGGUAGCAGGAAUUCCCAGUGUAGCGGUGAAAUGCGUAGAGAUUGGGAAGAACAUCGGUGGCGAAAGCGUGCUACUGGGCUGUAUCUGACACUCAGGGACGAAAGCUAGGGGAGUGAAAGGGAUUAGAUACCCCUGUAGUCCUAGCCGUAAACGAUGGAUACUAGGCGUGGCUU